Molecule: ribosomal RNA, 505 nt
Filed under: uncultured bacterium
Lineage: Bacteria
Description: partial 16S ribosomal RNA
Rfam family: Bacterial small subunit ribosomal RNA
Source: RNAcentral
GACGAACGCUGGCGGCGUGCCUAAUACAUGCAAGUCGAACGCACAGUUUAUACCGUAGCUUGCUACACCAUAGACUGUGAGUUGCGAACGGGUGAGUAACGCGUAGGUAACCUGCCUGGUAGCGGGGGAUAACUAUUGGAAACGAUAGCUAAUACCGCAUAAUAUUAAUUAUUGCAUGAUAAUUAAUUGAAAGGUGCAAUUGCACCACUACCAGAUGGACCUGCGUUGUAUUAGCUAGUAGGUGAGGUAACGGCUCACCUAGGCGACGAUACAUAGCCGACCUGGGAGGGUGAUCGGCCACACUGGGACUGAGACACGGCCCAGACUCCUACGGGAGGCAGCAGUAGGGAAUCUUCGGCAAUGGACGAAAGUCUGACCGAGCAACGCCGCGUGAGUGAAGAAGGUUGUCGGAUCGUAAAGCUCUGUUGUAAGAGAAGAACGGGUGUGAGAGUGGAAAGUUCACACUGUGACGGUAACUUACCAGAAAGGGACGGCUAACUACGUG